CCAUGAUAUAUGUUGGAGGAUACUGAAGUUGAGAGUCUACACUUUUCUGAUCUUGUCUGCUUAAACAUCUAUGUCCACUCUUGGAACUUUAUAUUUAUCUCUGCAGAAAAGGCAGUUCAGAUGCAGACUCUGUAGCCUGGAACCAGACAGAUGUUGAAAGACUGAAUAUAACUCCAGAGAAAAAAAGAAUACUGGGAAGAUUGUAUAUGUGAGUCUUAACUGCAUUAGUAACCAUAAAUGUAAGUGGACUAAUAAUAACAACUUAUGUUUUGGUUAGACUGCUAAGAUUUUGAGUAG
This 297-nucleotide long non-coding RNA is filed under the name Calidris pygmaea (Spoon-billed sandpiper). RNAcentral describes it as "lncRNA (ENSCPGG00000017111.1)". The record is from RNAcentral. Lineage: Eukaryota; Metazoa; Chordata; Aves; Charadriiformes; Scolopacidae.